UCUUUAGGAGAUUUAAAACACAUUGAAACAGUGAUAACACAGAAUAUCAUGAAGGGCAGAAGAGCUGUUUCAAUGUUCACUUUACACUGUGUACUGGUUUAUGUCCGUGUGUAAUAGCUUUGAUUUAGCUGGCAAUGCUACAGAGCACAACAGUACCAUUUUUCUGCAAAACUGCUAGAAUAGUAGUAAUAGUUCUGCUAUUACUGCUACUCUUAUCGCCACUAUUGCUACACAUCAAAUAAAAUAUAAUCUUUGCCAUGUUCUCACAGGCAAAAUGUCAGAUUUGUGACCAAAGCAAAGCACCACAUUUAGUUUAGAUCAACAAUAUGUGCAAGAUGGACAGCUGAAUUUGUUUUUGCAUAGCCUCAAUCGACGCCACUGAAAAACACUGUCACAUGCAAAUAUCCAACACACAGUUACAGUUUUGCCAUGUCUUUGGCAUUCUUGACCAUGAAGUGAAGAAAUACUGUUCGAUUGGUUAAAAGGGUAGAAUUCAUGAGCCUCGAAUCAUUUUCUAUGUGUUUAGUUAUCUGACAACAGAAAUGGAAAGUAUGUUGAUGACAACAAUUAAAUAGUGAAUUCAGAUGGACUGAAAAUCAAUGUGAUGAUGGCUCAAAGGUGAUAGAGCCUUAACCCGCCAAGACAAUGACUAGUCUGAAUGUUGUUGUUUGCAGACAGAUAGGAGGAAGAAAAUAUUAAACAAUUUUGUAAUUGUUAAGGCAUUUCAGUAUGGAAAGUAAACCUUUCAGAAACAUUAUGAAGAUAUUUAUGCUGCUGCAUGUUGUUGUCAUACACUAACUGCGUUUUUCAGAUUUAGCCAACUUAGUUUUGUACACAAAUACUUUCACAAAUUCUCUGCUUCUGCUAUCCCACCCUACACUAGUUCCACUACUACCACCACUAAUUUUAUUCAUUCCAAGUACUACUACUAACUGAACCCUCUCGCUACCCUCUCUUCUCUUUGUCCUUCAGUCCUUUCGUCCCUCUUCUCUACCUUGCUCACAAGCAGACAAACAUCCACUCAGCCCUCACAAGAACUUCCUCCCCUGCAAUUCACCCUUUCAACACCUCUGGGCUGACGGAGGAGACGGCACUUAACUCUCAGCCCUUUUGUCUCCUGCAGUAAGUGUGGAGGUUGACUCAUUAAUCCCAGAUUCCUCUCUCUGUGACAGAGCCAAAGGCUGGACAUGGAACCGGCCACAAGGACUGGACGUCUCUGGGUGAGCUCAGUGCAGAGCGUUGUAGAGAGAAGAGGGGAGGACCUUUCCAACUAGGCGAGGGACAGACAGAUGGACGGUCAUAGAGGGAGGAAGAGAAGAAGAGGAGCAUUACAAUUAAUGCAAGCAGAGGUCUAAACAUCCCAUCACUCCACCUGGCUGCUGCUUCAGCUCUUCAUCUGCAUUAAUGCUUCAAACCGGAGCUGCUUAGGCUACACAAAAACAUCUGGUCCGAGUGGAAGGGACACGGCAAGACAGCACAGGAUGUGGAAGGAAGCUGGGGUGAGGAGGGAGAUGAGGAGCACCAGCCACAACACCAUAUGCACUAACCCCAAACCAUCAGCUGCCUACCCUGUGAAAGUGGAGGGACUCAGCCUGCUUCAAUGUUAGAAGGAUGAUGGAUCAGGGGAGAAAACCUGAGUAACGGCUAUGUUCUCAUCAUAUUCUGAAAGAUAAAAGAUGUUUUGUGGACAGCUAAAGAAGACCCACAAGUUGAGAAACCUUUUGUUUGUACUCAUGGAGGCAUUGAUAUUCUUAUCCAUCAUUUAGGUUUUAUACAGAGGCACUAAUAUUUACAUUGAGACAUUUAAACAAAAGUACACAUAAAAUGAACUGCAAGGUAAACACCUACAACCACUUGUUCAAAAACACAUGCAACUCAAGAAAAAAGGUUUUGCAUUGAUAGGUCUUCUGCCAGGUCGAGAGAUGAUGCUUUAUAGAAAAACCUUUGGGAGCUCUUGCAGACUUAUUUCAGAAGUUGUAUUUCUAGAUUUCAAUUCUCAAUCCAGCACAUAAAGUUAGAUGAUAAUUUAUAGCAAUAAGCACUGACUGACAGCUAGUUUAAAGGGUCUAGUCAAUAGCAUGGCUGCAUAAAAGCCUCUGGGAGUGAAAUGCAGCUGAUAAAUGUUUAAUAAAUGUUUCAGCAAGAAUCA
Molecule: long non-coding RNA, 2149 nt
Organism: Micropterus salmoides (largemouth bass)
Lineage: Eukaryota; Metazoa; Chordata; Actinopteri; Centrarchiformes; Centrarchidae
Exons: 4
Source: RefSeq, a predicted model, not a curated record